UUGUAUUUUGUGGUUUUAAAAUAUAUUUACAUUAUUUAUUCUACAAAACUCAGGCUUGGAAUUCACCAGCAUGGAGGAAGCCAGCAGCUUGGAAGUAUGGCAGAUGAGCCAGAAAAGAAAGAUACACGAAAAUCAAUCUGAAUAUGCUGGAAACAGUGUCUCCAGAGUCUUCCAGAGUCUUGAGUUCAGCCACGACUGAAUAACUGCGGGGUGGAGAGAUCCCUGAAGACAAAAUGACAUGCUGUCUGGGAAAAAUUUGAGUGUAUACAGACUGGUUUCAAUAUCUGCUGGGGAGGCAGCUUGAGAACUGUGCAGCAAGAUUGUGGUCUCCACUCCAGGUUAAAAGCCCAAAAACCACAUUCACUUAAGAGAUCAGCUGCUAACUGAAGCACAUGUGUGAUUGCAGACACUAUAUUUAUUCCUAAUUAAAUAUAGGAUGUUUAUCUAUGUU
This is a long non-coding RNA of Xenopus tropicalis (tropical clawed frog), 451 nucleotides long. RefSeq lists it as uncharacterized. NCBI's taxonomy places the organism in Eukaryota, Metazoa, Chordata, Amphibia, Anura, Pipidae. The record is from RefSeq and is a predicted model, not a curated record. The transcript has 2 exons.